RNA transcript from Ricinus communis (castor bean), 2143 nucleotides. It is a transcript of the gene named cell division control protein 6 homolog B, with no coding region annotated. NCBI's taxonomy places the organism in Eukaryota, Viridiplantae, Streptophyta, Magnoliopsida, Malpighiales, Euphorbiaceae. The transcript has 17 exons. The record is from RefSeq and is a predicted model, not a curated record.
AAGCUCGGCCCAAUAAUGAUGGUGUCGUUGUGCGAGACUGCGCAGUCUUUUAGUUUACCAUUUUUUCAAAAAAAAAAAUAGAGCUCAAAGACGACAUUUUGGCGCCAUAUGGCGGGAGAUGAAAUUGUUAAGGUUACAGAUUCCCGCUAAAAUAAACUUUGUUUUUGAUAUUUACACAAUUUUACGAAUCAAUACCAAAACCCUCUCCUCACCCAGGCUCCAAACAUUCUCUCAAUCCAACAACAGUUCUUGUUUUCAACUUCUCACCAUGCCUUCUCUCGCUGCUGGUCGGAAUGUAGCCGUUAAAUCUAACACCGAACAGAUGACGCCUCAGAAACGGACAUUAAGAUCUAACGCAGGAGCAGCAGCGGUGCAGGAAAGUCCGGUCUCUUCACCAGUGAAGUGGAAAUCUCCACGCCGAUGCUUUGUUUCGAGCCCAAACACUACUCCUGAUGUAGGCAUUGAGAAAAUGUGCAAAUCGCCAGCAAAGAAAUUGUGUGAUGAUUUAAUUGAUAAAGCAAAUUGGAAUCCUAGAGAUAUGGAGCAAAUGAGUGCAGUUAAAGAGGCAUUGCAUGUGUCAACAGCACCAUCAACUGUUGUAUGCCGUGAAGAUGAACAGAAAAAGGUUUUUGAUUUCUGUAAGGCUUGUAUUGAACAGGAAAAGGCUGGGAGUUUAUAUGUGUGUGGCUGUCCAGGAACUGGCAAGUCUUUGUCUAUGGCGAAAGUGAAGCAACAGUUGGUUGAUUGGACCAAAGAGGCUGGCUUUCAGUGUCCAGAUGUGUUGAGUAUGAAUUGCACUUCUCUAACAAACACAUGCGAAAUCUUCAGCAAGAUAAUUGGUAAAAACUCCCCAAGAAAGAGAAACAGUGGAUCUUCUUCACAUCUACUGCAUCUUCAGAACUUGUAUUCUCAACAUCAUUUACCAGGCUCAAAAAUGAUGCUAAUAAUAGCAGAUGAAUUGGACUAUUUGAUUACUAAAGACCGUGCCGUCCUUCAUGAUCUUUUUAUGCUUACAACUUUCCCAUUUUCUCGAUGCAUAUUAAUAGGUAUAGCAAAUGCCAUAGAUCUAGCAGAUCGUUUUCUUCCAAGACUUCAAUCAUUGAACUGCAAGCCUAUGGUCAUAACUUUUAGAGCUUACUCCAAGGACCAAAUUCUCAGAAUACUUCAAGAGAGGCUGAUGGCACUAUCUUGGACCAUUUUUCAUCCACAAGCAUUGGAGCUCUGCGCCAGAAAAGUAGCAGCUGCUUCAGGAGACAUGCGGAAAGCUCUUUGUGUUUGCAGGAGUGCGGUUGAGAUCCUAGAAGCAGAACUGAAAGAAUCUACAAGCAAUAUGAAUUCAUUUGAACUGGAGAAAGAGUUGCCUGAUCAGCAAAUAGCUCAAGCUUGCAGUAUUGUGAGGAUUGAUCAUAUGGCUGUUGCUUUGUCAAAAGCAUAUAGGUCACCUGUAGUGGACACCAUUCAAUCUCUUCCUCAGCAUCAACAAGUAAUUCUAUGCUCUGCUGUGAAGUUUUUUCGGGGAGGAAAGAAGGAUACUACUAUAGGAGAGCUGAAUAAAUCUUAUGCAGACAUAUGCAAGUCAACAAUGAUACCACCAGUUGGAUUUCUGGAGUUUUUGAAUAUGUGCACAGUGCUAAAUGAUCAGGGCCUCCUAAAACUAGGUCAAUCUCGUGAUGAUAAAUUGAGAAGAGUGACGUUGAAAGUAGAUGCUGCAGACAUUACUUUUGCAUUGCAGUCACAGGGUAUUCGUUUCUUUCGGAAUUGUCUCCAGUAACUCUGUCUAAGUACGUGUACUUGGUUUCCUUCAACAUUCCAACUCAGUAUUUCAUGGCUAUUUAUCAUUAGUUUCUCCACCCAAUGCCAGUUAAAGCAACUUAACUGGCUCGACGUAACCCAAUAUUCAUCUCGCAUGUUGAACGUCAAGAAAUUAAAGAAAACAAUGUCAAAACAUAGAAGAGAGAAGAACCUAGAUGCCUUAAAUGGCAUCAUUUUCUAGCCACGACUCGAGGGUUUCAACAGCAAAAACCUAGCACAGGCACAAAUUCAGUUGUAUUGCAUUUUUAUUCUUUACUAUGUCAAUAUAAUGAUUUUUUGCUAUAAUAAAUUUUAAAAAAAAAAGGAAAUAAAUUGAUAAUUGUAGGGCAAA